This 330-nucleotide ribosomal RNA is filed under the name uncultured eukaryote. RNAcentral's name for it is "partial 18S ribosomal RNA". It matches the Rfam family "Eukaryotic small subunit ribosomal RNA", at positions 1470 to 1796 of the family's 1831-position model. The record is from RNAcentral.
CCCUUAGAUGUUCGGGGCCGCACGCGCGCUACACUGAAGGAAUCAGCACGUCUUUCUCCUCGUCCGAAAGGACUGGGUAACCCGCUGAACCUCCUUCGUGCUAGGGAUUGGGGCUUGUAAUUCUUCCCCAUGAACGAGGAAUUCCCAGUAAGCGCGAGUCAUAAGCUCGCGUUGAUUACGUCCCUGCCCUUUGUACACACCGCCCGUCGCUACUACCGAUUGGAUGGUUUAGUGAGAUCCUCGGAUUGGUCCCGGAGCGGCCUCUGGUCGUGCCGGAGUGCCGAAAAGAAUGUCGAACUUGAUCAUCUAGAGGAAGUAAAAGUCGUAACA